Molecule: ribosomal RNA, 429 nt
Filed under: uncultured bacterium
Lineage: Bacteria
Description: bacterial SSU rRNA
Rfam family: Bacterial small subunit ribosomal RNA
Source: RNAcentral
UAGGGAAUAUUGCGCAAUGGACGAAAGUCUGACGCAGCAACGCCGUGUGAGCGAUGAAGGUCUUCGGAUCGUAAAGCUCUGUCAGGAGGGACGAACCGUCCCACGUAAACAAACGUGGGAUCUGACGGUACCUCCAGAGGAAGCACCGGCCAACUCCGUGCCAGCAGCCGCGGUAAUACGGAGGGUGCGAGCGUUGUUCGGAUUUACUGGGCGUAAAGCGCGUGCAGGCGGGUCAGCAAGUCCUGUGUGUAAUCUUCCGGCUCAACCGGGAAACUGCAUGGGAAACUACUGAUCUUGAGUGCGAGAGAGGAUGGCGGAAUUCCUGGUGUAGCGGUGAAAUGCGUAGAUAUCAGGAGGAACACCGGUGGCGAAGGCGGCCGUCUGGCUCGACACUGACGCUCAUACGCGAAGGCCGGGGGAGCAAACAGG